This 611-nucleotide long non-coding RNA is filed under the name Marmota monax (woodchuck). Lineage: Eukaryota; Metazoa; Chordata; Mammalia; Rodentia; Sciuridae. The record is from RNAcentral.
GUCCCACAGUCUGGCUUUACCUGGUGUUUCCUCAUCAUCGGAUUCAGGUUUUGUAUCAUUAAGCCAGAAUAUCACAAAGUGAUACUGUGUAUGUGUCAUCAUCUGGCACAAGAUUUCACUUUCUUUCAUCACUGGAGAUGUUGAUUUUGAUUACUUGACUGAAGUGGUAUCUGCCAGAUGUCUCCACUAUAAAGUUACUUCACUUCUUCUUUUGUAAUUAAUGAGUACAGAGGUUCCUCCGAAUCCAUGGGGGAUUGGUUCCAGGGCCCCACACAGAUACCAAAUUCUGCAGAUGCUCAAGUCCCUUCUAUGAGGUGGGGAAGUAUUUGCAUCGAUCCUACGCACAUCCUCCUCCACACUUUAAGUUAUCUUUGAUGACUUACCAUCCCUAAUACAAUGGAAGCGCAAUGUAAACAGUUGUCAUAGUCUAUUGUUUAGGGAAUAAUGAUGAAAAGAAAACUGUACAUGUCAGGUACAGACACAAUUCUUUUUAUGAAUUUUUUUUUUGAGACAGGGAUCUUGCUAUGUUGUCCAGGCUGACCUCAAACUCCAGGCCCAAGUGAUCCUCCUCCUCAGGCUCCUGAGUAGCCUGGACUACAGGCCUGUGCCCC